Molecule: ribosomal RNA, 434 nt
Filed under: Clostridioides difficile
Lineage: Bacteria; Bacillati; Bacillota; Clostridia; Peptostreptococcales; Peptostreptococcaceae
Description: bacterial LSU rRNA
Rfam family: Bacterial large subunit ribosomal RNA
Source: RNAcentral
UGGUUAUGUGUGCCCAAGCAUUGAGGCAGUCAAAGUAGGCAAAUCCGCUUUGAUAAUGCUGGGAUGUGAUGGGGAGCGAAAUUUAGUAGCGAAGUAGCUGAUUUCACACUGUCAAGAAAAGUCUCUAGCGAGGUUAAAGGUACCCGUACCGCAAACCGACACAGGUGGGUGAGGAGAGUAUCCUAAGGCCAGCGAGAGAACUGUUGUUAAGGAACUCGGCAAAAUGACCCCGUAACUUAGGGAUAAGGGGUGCCACCAUCAGGUGGCCGCAGAGAAUAGGCCCAAGCGACUGUUUACCAAAAACAUAGGUUUCUGCUAAGUCGCAAGACGAUGUAUAGGAGCUGAGCCUGGCCGGGGCUGGAAGGUUAAGGGGAUAUGUUAGAGCAAUCGAAGCAGUGAACUUAAGCCCCAGUAAACGGCUGCCGUAACUAUAA